UUUUGUUCGAAGUCAGUUCGUUUUUGUUGCAAAUUUUGUUACAUCAAAUAAUAAUAAAUCAAACAAAAAGUUAACCAUAACAAUUAGUGAUCAUUUUGCAAAUUGAGAGGUGUACUGUAAUUUCAUAAAAAAAAAUAUCAACCAUAAUAUCGAAAACAUAUAAAUUCGAUUCGGAGAGAACAAAACGAGAGGCCAGUUCAAUUAUCCCGAAAAUGAAGAGAUCAAAUGAUGAAAUGAUGGGCAAUGAAACUAAACGAUUGGCAGAGGAAAUCCACCCGAAUAAACAAAAUAUGUCAUUUUGAAGCCAACCCGAGAAAAUGUUGGACAGAAAGGAACUUGAAAAAAUCAGGGAAUAGGCUUAUCGAAUAGCAGAGAGUAUUCGACAAACAGCAGAGAGUAUUCGACAAACAGCAGAGAGUAUUCGACAAACCAGAGCUCACAGUCGAAGGAUCGAAUGUCAAUUGCGACGUUAUCGAAUGACAAUAAGGAAAGAGUUGUUAGUUUUAACUCAGUUGAGUCGAGACUGAAUUUUAUUAAACUUCUUAUUUACUACGUUACAUCAGUUUUGUCAGCUGAGUUAGACUGACCUAUUUGAAUUCUUUGAAAUGUAUUGUUUGAAUUGACACGAAUUGCAUUUAUCGGAUUAAAUUGCUUAUCUAAUCUAAAGAUUCGGAUUAAAUUGAAAUUAUAACAACAAUAUUUGCUUUUUAUUAUUACGUAGAAUUGACACUAAUUGUUCAUAAAUUAACUUGCAUAACUUUAAAAAACAUCAUUCGAUGAUUCAUAUUUGCAUGUUAAUAGACAGAAUUUAACAAACCGCAGAGAGAAUUGAACAACAAGGAGAGAGAAUUGAACAAGCCAGAAAGGAAAUCGAAGAAAUCGAGGAUCUGUUCAACCGGCGAAUUUUGAAUCAAUAGAGAUAAAUAAUUGGGACAUUAGCCAAAUUCUGGAGAGAUGGACCGUAGCUGUGCAACUAGCGAUUCAAUACAGCUGGUGCCAUCUGGAAUUUCUGUGUACAGUGUACCGAACUACACAGAAUGUGUAUGAUUUGUUGUUGAAAAGAAUAAAAACAGGGCAAAGUAAACGUCAAACGUGACCACAGAGUGUACCUGUUGUGCAGCUACGAGAUGGACUAUAUACAAAUAGAAGAAAAUCAAUUACUAAUUACAAUUCGCAUUUACCAUUUUACUUCAUGUGUCAUUUAUUCUGGUUCUAACUUUAUAGAAAAACUGAACGAAAUAACUAAAGAGAGAAUAUUGUGAAAUGAAAAUAUGCGUCUAUUUAGCUACUUUGGCUUAGGUUUCAUUUUACAUCGAACAUGUUAUGGUGCAACCAAGAAAACAAAGGUAAAUUCUGCAAUUUCGUUCAAGUUUGCGCGCGAACGGCAUUUGCAUACGACGUAUUAGCGGUCAUAUUUUGAAUUUCUUGGGCAGAAACGAAAAAAAAGUAUAUUUGUUUAUCUACUAGCGUUAAUCUGUUAUCUGAAAUGCAAUAAUUACGGUAUUGUUUAGUUGGCUGU
Long non-coding RNA from Sitodiplosis mosellana (orange wheat blossom midge), 1519 nucleotides. RefSeq lists it as uncharacterized. The transcript has 3 exons. The record is from RefSeq and is a predicted model, not a curated record. Lineage: Eukaryota; Metazoa; Arthropoda; Insecta; Diptera; Cecidomyiidae.